This 959-nucleotide unclassified non-coding RNA is filed under the name Hevea brasiliensis (rubber tree). Lineage: Eukaryota; Viridiplantae; Streptophyta; Magnoliopsida; Malpighiales; Euphorbiaceae. The record is from RNAcentral.
GUGUGUGUGUGUGUGUGUGUGUCAUAUUAUGCUACUUAUUUGGAAAGAAAUGGUGUGCAAUGGAGGGUACCAAAUGGUAAGAAGAUAGAAAAAAAUUCUGGGAAAAACCAUCAAAAUAUUUUGAAUACCCAAAGCAGGAGUUCAUGUGAUAUAACAUGAAAUAAGUAAAUGCUAUUAUAAACAUGAGGCAAGUAAGAAGUUUUGUCUCCCAAGAGUCAUUGCUCCAUUCACAUAUAAAUUCUUCAGUCAAACAUCUCCUUAUACAUAGAUAUACACACAAUUCAUAUUGAAUAGCAUACAAAUGAAAUCCAGACGACAUAUGAGGAAAACUUAAUCAAGGGAAAUAAAUUUAGUAAUGUUACAGGAUGAUAAACACAAAAACAGCACAUAAAGAGAAUGUCCAUUUCUAUACUAGUAAAGCACCCAUAUUGUCCUUCGAUAAACAGAAGGAAAAGACUCGGGAAAACAUUAGUAAUGCUGAUAAGCAAACAAAGCUUUCUGAUCAAGAAGAUUUCAUGAAUCAUAAUUGCUUGCUUUGUUUUUAAUCAAAGAUUCCCAUAAUUGCUUCCUUGCCUCAGCUGAUGUGAGCUCAACGAGGGAACUUGGCCAAGUUUUCUACAAAAGAAAUUUACCUUUUUAUCAUAGGGGCUAGGGCAUAAAUUUUCAUUGCACUUUUCAUCAGUUGAAUCUGGUCAUUCCCACAAUCCUUCAGAAUUAACUUUGAAGUUCUCCAAAAUGUUCAAAAUCAUUGUUAAAGAGACCAUCAUACUUUAUUCAGUACCUAAGAAACUAAUAAUUAAUUAACACCUAAUUAAUGCAACACAGUUAUAUAUAUUACACAAGCAUUUGUGUGGAAGUUGAACUUGGCUUAUACCAGCAUGAUGCAAAUAGUUCGCUUGACAUAACCAACUACUUCAGCUGUUUUCCCCCAACAUGCAUACUUAAACUAUUCACUUGAG